AACGAACGCUGGCGGCAGGCCUAACACAUGCAAGUCGAACGCCGUAGCGAUACGGAGUGGCAGACGGGUGAGUAACGCGUGGGAACAUACCCCUCGGUUCGGAAUAACUCAGGGAAACUUGAGCUAAUACCGGAUACGUCCAAGGUUUUAAUCGACCUUGGAGAAAGAUUUAUCGCCGGAGGAUUGGCCCGCGUCUGAUUAGCUUGUUGGUGAGGUAAUGGCUCACCAAGGCGACGANCAGUAGCUGGUCUGAGAGGAUGAUCAGCCACAUUGGGACUGAGACACGGCCCAAACUCCUACGGGAGGCAGCAGUGGGGAAUAUUGGACAAUGGGCGAAAGCCUGAUCCAGCCAUGCCGCGUGAGUGAUGAAGGCCUUAGGGUUGUAAAGCUCUUUACCCGGGAAGAUAAUGACGGUACCGGGAGAAUAAGCCCCGGCUAAC
Molecule: ribosomal RNA, 440 nt
Filed under: uncultured bacterium
Lineage: Bacteria
Description: bacterial SSU rRNA
Rfam family: Bacterial small subunit ribosomal RNA
Source: RNAcentral